Non-coding RNA from Lonchura striata (white-rumped munia), 875 nucleotides. NCBI's taxonomy places the organism in Eukaryota, Metazoa, Chordata, Aves, Passeriformes, Estrildidae. The record is from RefSeq and is a predicted model, not a curated record.
AUGUAUUUUAUCCUCCAUGCUGCCAAAGGCCAAUGAUUUGCAGCUGGGUGUGAAAAUAACAUUUGACUCUGCCUGCAACAUGGCUGCAAGGAAGGGGAGCAACGGGCUGUGCACUUGUUUAUACAAGAAAGAUAAGAAGAAUUACUUUGAUUUGACAGCAUGCUGGAGACUGAUACCAGUGUGCCCAAGGAAGUACUUUAAAGUCAGAAUUUCAGACACACAACUUGCUGGUCAUUGCCUGAGUAAGAGAACAGAGCAUCCUCUUUGUUCUGCUCUGUGACUGAUUGGGCUGUGCCUCACGUGUGAAAAUGGAACAUUGAUGAUGAUGAUGAUGAUGAUGAGCUGUGCACUGUGCUUGUGAGCACAGCUCAGCUCACUGCACCUACCACCCCUGUGUGUCCCAACCCAUGAUGAAAAUGGAUGCAGAGGAUUCAGAGGGUAAAUGGCAGUGCUGCUCAUACACAGAGAUAUCCACAGUACAGCUACAACUAGGCAUCUUUGUUCUUCUCUGCCACUACAAAGAGAUGUUUAUUUGAUCUCAAGAAUGUGGAGGAACCUUCAGCAACAAUCUGGUUUAAUUUGGUGAGCAAUUUGAGAAUAUUUUCAAUAUCUUGAAGAGCUGUGAAUGAGCUAUCUUCCUCAGACUACCCAAAUACAAAAAAACAGCUGGAAAAAUCAAUCAAGUGUAACUCUUUCUUUAAUUAUCUUUAAUGAGAAUUAACUGUUACUCCAGAUACAGGCAGAGACUUGCAGAGAAAAAUUUAUGGUUAUUUAACAGCUUCAAAACAGCAGUGGUUCUUAUUGGAAUCAGUUCCAGAAGAUCCAAGAAUAGCCAGCGUCAGUUGGCUUUUAUCUGAAUUUAUUUACAUUGAAAA